UACAGAGGGUGCGAGCGUUAAUCGGAAUUACUGGGCGUAAAGCGUGCGUAGACGGUUAUUUAAGUCGGAUGUGAAAGCCCCGGGCUCAACCUGGGAAUUGCAUUCGAGACUGAAUAGCUAGGGUGCGGUAGAGGGAAGCGGAAUUUCCGGUGUAGCGGUGAAAUGCGUAGAUAUCGGAAGGAACACCUGUGGCGAAAGCGGCUCACUGGACCAUAACUGACGCUGAGGCGCGAAAGCUAGGGGAGCAAACAGG
This 253-nucleotide ribosomal RNA is filed under the name uncultured bacterium. Its description in RNAcentral is "partial 16S ribosomal RNA". It matches the Rfam family "Bacterial small subunit ribosomal RNA", at positions 524 to 776 of the family's 1533-position model. The record is from RNAcentral.